This 254-nucleotide ribosomal RNA is filed under the name uncultured bacterium. Its description in RNAcentral is "partial 16S ribosomal RNA". It matches the Rfam family "Bacterial small subunit ribosomal RNA", at positions 423 to 669 of the family's 1533-position model. The record is from RNAcentral.
UUGUAAAGCACUUUUAUCAGGAGCGAAAUCGGCGUGGUUAAUACCCGCGUCGUCUGACGGUACCUGAGGAAUAAGCACCGGCUAACUUCGUGCCAGCAGCCGCGGUAAUACGAAGGGUGCAAGCGUUAAUCGGAAUUACUGGGCGUAAAGGGUUCGUAGGCGGUUAGUUAAGUCUGUUGUGAAAUCCCCGGGCUCAACCAGGGAAUGGCAAUGGAUACUGGCUAGCUGGAGUGUGUCAGAGGAUGGUGGAAUUC